AGUGCUGUCUGUUCAAGGCACUUCACACCUGAUUGUUUUGAGUAUUUAAAACAACGUCGCCGUUUAUUUAGUUCAGCAAUACCAACAAUGUUUCUACCAAUUUUGGCUUCACCUUAUAGUUUGACUGAGUCUAAUACUAACGUACCUGGGCCUUCGCAUCACAAUACCGGCCAAAGUUCAACAAUGAAUACCAAAGUAAUAGUAGACCCAGAAAUUGGUGAGCUCAGUCCACGAAAACGCAAAUGAAACGACAAAUAGACCAUCUAAUAUAUUCUCUAAAUAACAAGAAAAAACAUGUAAAGAGGCUUCAAGACAAAAAUAGAGUGUUGGUAAAAAAAAAUGCGAAUCUAAAAGAAAUUUUAAAUACAUUGUCUCAAAAAUCUUAUAUAACCGAAGAAAAUGAAAAUAUUUUAUCCUGCAUAGGUGUACAAAAUCGAGAACUAGUUAAACGUCAAAUACUUAAAUCUAAAACAGGACAUAUGCCAAAACUAAAAUACUCUCCAGAAUUACGAGCGUUCGCUUUGACACUGCAUUUCUAUUCGCCAAAGGCAUAUAAUUUUGUAAGAAAAACAUUUAGUACAUGUUUACCAGCCACGAGCACGCUCAGAAAGUGGUAUCAGUCGGUUGAUGGUAAACCAGGGUUUACGAAAGAGGCGAUUGAUGCCAUUAAAAUCAAAGCGACAGAAUCAAAACAAAAACUUUACGCUACUAUUAUAUUUGAUGAAAUGGCUAUAAGAAGCGGAGUCGAAUAUCACCCCCAAGGCCGGAGGUAUUAUGGCCACGUUAGUUUCGGUACCAGCUUGGAAACAGAUUGCCAAGAUGAAGCCAAGGAA
Long non-coding RNA from Trichoplusia ni (cabbage looper), 833 nucleotides. RefSeq lists it as uncharacterized. The transcript has 3 exons. The record is from RefSeq and is a predicted model, not a curated record. NCBI's taxonomy places the organism in Eukaryota, Metazoa, Arthropoda, Insecta, Lepidoptera, Noctuidae.